This 691-nucleotide long non-coding RNA is filed under the name Nicotiana benthamiana. RNAcentral's name for it is "long non-coding RNA (NBEN_LNC002521)". The record is from RNAcentral. Lineage: Eukaryota; Viridiplantae; Streptophyta; Magnoliopsida; Solanales; Solanaceae.
AGUUUAGGAGGAAUAAGAGAUAAGACGUUAACUGAAGAAACUGAAUAUUUUAGUAGAAUAAUUAAUCUUUUUCUCUAUAUUGCUGCUUGAAGAUUCUUUGGUAACAAUAAGUGAUUGAUGGAUUUGUGUCAUGGAUCACGUAAUAACUGUUCCAUUUAUAGAAUAUUGAUGCUAGAAUCCAUAGAAUUUGGACAGCACUUCUUCCUCCAAUCUUGAGAACAACUCGUGGAGUUUGCCAAAAUGUAUGUAAAUUGGUUUAUGAUAAGAUAUUCAAUCACAAGAGUCAACAACAAUAACAAACCCAAUAUAAUCCCACAAGUGGGGUUUGGGGAGGGUGGUGUGUAGGCGGACCUUACGUCUAUCUUGAAGGUAGAGAGUCUGUAUCCGAUAGACCCUCGGCUCAAGGAAAGAUGAGAAGAAAGCAAUAUCACAAGCAUUAACAACAAGAAGAUAAUAAGAAAACGAAGCGAAAGGAACAAUACAUAGUAUUGGAAAUCUUACAAUAAUAGGACACCGGACUAACACUAAUACUACUGGUAUGGGAAACUCCAGACUAACAAGAGGAAUAUGCCUGAAAAAAUCAUUCUUUUUCUGCAUGAACUGUUAGAAAAUUUAGUUUGGGCGUGCAAUUAGUUUCCUCAUUGGAGUAUUAAAAGUGGAUCGAUUCCUCAAUUUAUUAAUUUGGUGGUUU